CUCUUUCUGAAAUGGUAUCAUCAUGCUAAAUUGGGAUUUCCUCUUCUGAAAUGGCAUCAUCAUGCUAAUUGUUAACUCCCAGCAUCUAUGUCAUAGAUUCCAUAUGAUACAUCACCUUCUCCCUUUGCUGAUUUACUGGCCUUGCUAAUGUGUUGCAUCAUGUUCCUAUUGUCUAUCUCUAUUACAUCUGUUACAUUUUAGUGGUAGGUCGGGUCCAUGUACCAGCAAUGCAUUGAGAAAAAGGAUGAACGGACAAUUUUUUAGUUCCUCUCAGCUUGUUUGAAAAGUUGAAACAAGACGUAGAGAAGGAAGUGAGUUUCAUUCAAGAAAGUAUGCAAACUCCAGAUAAUACAAAGAUGUUGAGGCAAUAGCUCAUGCAACAAAUGAACAUCCUUUACACUGCUUGCAGAACACACAAAAGAACUCUUGCAAAGAGAUAAUACUAUUGACAUGCCUAUCGUAUCUCAAAGGCAUCGAAAUGCUGCUGCUGUUUCUGCAUCCAUGCUUCACACGCUUCAUGUCAUCAAAUUGGGUUCUAGUGCACGGAGAUGCCCAUAUAAUUCUUUUCUGGAUCUGCUCUCAGUAGAGUAAUUCAAGUAAUUGGAUUUUUCAAUACUAAAUCUGACUCCACAAUUGCAG
Long non-coding RNA from Capsicum annuum, 639 nucleotides. RefSeq lists it as uncharacterized. The record is from RefSeq and is a predicted model, not a curated record. NCBI's taxonomy places the organism in Eukaryota, Viridiplantae, Streptophyta, Magnoliopsida, Solanales, Solanaceae. The transcript has 3 exons.